Molecule: ribosomal RNA, 222 nt
Filed under: Aplanochytrium stocchinoi
Lineage: Eukaryota; Bigyra; Thraustochytrida; Thraustochytriidae
Description: partial Bacterial small subunit ribosomal RNA
Rfam family: Bacterial small subunit ribosomal RNA
Source: RNAcentral
GUGGGCAGCCACUCCGCGAGGAGCAGCUAAUCCCAAAAAGCCGUCUCAGUUCGGAUUGGGCUCUGCAACUCGAGCCCAUGAAGUUGGAAUCGCUAGUAAUCGCGGAUCAGCAUGCCGCGGUGAAUACGUUCCCAGGCCUUGUACACACCGCCCGUCACGUCACGAAAGUCGGCAACACCCGAAGCCGGUGGCCCAACCCUUGUGGAGGGAGCCGUCGAAGGU